RNAcentral lists this transfer RNA (57 nucleotides) under Dipodomys ordii (Ord's kangaroo rat). It matches the Rfam family "tRNA", at positions 8 to 63 of the family's 71-position model. From Rfam's summary of the family: Transfer RNA (tRNA) molecules are approximately 80 nucleotides in length. Their secondary structure includes four short double-helical elements and three loops (D, anti-codon, and T loops). Further hydrogen bonds mediate the characteristic L-shaped molecular structure. tRNAs have two regions of fundamental functional importance: the anti-codon, which is responsible for specific mRNA codon recognition, and the 3' end, to which the tRNAs corresponding amino acid is attached (by aminoacyl-tRNA synthetases). tRNAs cope with the degeneracy of the genetic code in two manners: having more than one tRNA (with a specific anti-codon) for a particular amino acid; and 'wobble' base-pairing, i.e. permitting non-standard base-pairing at the 3rd anti-codon position. The record is from Rfam by way of RNAcentral. Lineage: Eukaryota; Metazoa; Chordata; Mammalia; Rodentia; Heteromyidae.
UGGCUCAGUGGUAGAGUGCUUGCCUCACAAGCAUGAGGCCAUGGGUUCCAUUCCUCU